AUGCAAGUGUAAGUACGAGCUCGAGUACAGUGAAACUGCGAAUGGCUCAUUAAAUCAGUUAUGGUUCAUUUGAUCGUACGCUUUAAUACAUGGAUAACUGUGGCAAUUCUAGAGCUAAUACAUGCGUGAAGCGCCGACUUGACRGGAGGCGCGCAUUUAUCAGACCAAAACUAACCGUGUUUCGGCACGUUCAGAUGGUGACUCUGGAUAAGCUCGCGGAUCGCACGGUCUUGCACCGGCGACAUCUCUUUAAAGCAACUGCCCUAUCAACUAUCGUCGGUACGGUAUCGGCCUACCGAGGUUGUAACGGGUGACGGAGAAUCAGGGUUCGAUUCCGGAGAGGGAGCCUGA
This 351-nucleotide ribosomal RNA is filed under the name Salpa sp. USNM IZ 1448687. RNAcentral's name for it is "SSU rRNA". Lineage: Eukaryota; Metazoa; Chordata; Thaliacea; Salpida; Salpidae. The record is from RNAcentral.